Molecule: unclassified non-coding RNA, 299 nt
Filed under: plant metagenome
Description: partial contains small subunit ribosomal RNA, internal transcribed spacer 1, and 5.8S ribosomal RNA
Source: RNAcentral
UUUCCGUAGGUGAACCUGCGGAAGGAUCAUUAACUUGUUACUCAGUCAUGCUGACCCGUAAACUGUACAAACCCACGCUGUGUACCUCUCCUGUUGCAUCCGCUGAGCCCGGAGCAUUUCAGAUGAGUUGUCUCUCGCACAGUCAAUUGCUGUGUGGGGUUGGCAAGUCUCGGUGACUGCUCUGGAUUCACAUGCCCAGCGCGGGGAGACUUAACUUCCGAAUUUACUAUUUCAUCUGUCUGAACUAUGUAACAAAAAAAAGAUUGUUAAAACUUUCAGCAACGGAUCUCUUGGUUCUC